Non-coding RNA from Massilia sp. JS1662, 73 nucleotides. NCBI's taxonomy places the organism in Bacteria, Pseudomonadati, Pseudomonadota, Betaproteobacteria, Burkholderiales, Oxalobacteraceae. The record is from Rfam.
GGGUCGUUAGCUCAGUUGGUAGAGCAGCGGACUUUUAAUCCGUUGGUCGCUGGUUCGAGCCCAGCACGGCCUA